This 403-nucleotide ribosomal RNA is filed under the name uncultured bacterium. RNAcentral describes it as "bacterial SSU rRNA". It matches the Rfam family "Bacterial small subunit ribosomal RNA", at positions 356 to 773 of the family's 1533-position model. The record is from RNAcentral.
GGGGGAUAUUGCACAAUGGAGGAAACUCUGAUGCAGCAACGCCGCGUGAGGGAAGAAGGUCUUCGGAUUGUAAACCUUUGUCCUUGGUGACGAAACAAAUGACGGUAGCCAAGGAGGAAGCUCCGGCUAACUACGUGCCAGCAGCCGCGGUAAUACGUAGGGAGCAAGCGUUGUCCGGAUUUACUGGGUGUAAAGGGUGCGUAGGCGGCUCUGCAAGUCAGGCGUGAAAACUAUGGGCUUAACCCAUAGACUGCGUUUGAAACUGUGGGGCUUGAGUGAAGUAGAGGUAGGCGGAAUUCCCGGUGUAGCGGUGAAAUGCGUAGAGAUCGGGAGGAACACCAGUGGCGAAGGCGGCCUACUGGGCUUUAACUGACGCUGAAGCACGAAAGCAUGGGUAGCAAAC